RNAcentral lists this long non-coding RNA (861 nucleotides) under Citrus maxima (pomelo). RNAcentral describes it as "long non-coding RNA (CMAX_LNC001268)". Lineage: Eukaryota; Viridiplantae; Streptophyta; Magnoliopsida; Sapindales; Rutaceae. The record is from RNAcentral.
AGCAUGAACACCGUCACUAUGAGUGGAAUAUACAAAACCUAUUUUCAUAGUUAUAUGAUAGUAAAGCAUGUUUGCGAAAUAAGUAUUUUAAAUGUUCUGAUUUAAUGAUUCCCUCGAAAUGGAUUUUAUUCAUGUAUUGGUAUUUUAUUAAAAUGUUUGGUUAAUGAUUCUGCGUAUCGACUUUGAAUAAAGUAUGAUAGUAUUUUAAAGACAAGAAAAGUGGAUUUAAAUGUGGUAUGAUUUAAAGUAUGGUUAAAAGGUAUGUGAAUAUGAGUAUAGUGAUUGUUUUUUAAAUCAUUAGACAGUACCCUUUCCUCCAGAUACAGUGAUACAGAUGAGAUGAGAGGCCUUCGGGACCCGUCUGAACACACAUAAAGGCUUUGGGCUGUGUAUUUGGGCGAUUUUGCCUUUUGGGGGCAUAUGCAUGUGGUAUGAUGAUUACAGAGAUACAGACAGAUAUUGAGAUACAGAUGAUACAGAUGAGAUGCAGGCCUUUGGGGCCCGUCUGAGUACACACAGAGGCUUUGGGCCAUGUGCUUGAGCGCUUUUGUUCUUUGGGGACUAGAUUAUGCAUGCACAGAUUUGAUGAGAUAUGAUGAGAUAUGAGAUGGUAUUUCCCUGUCUAUCCGUGUAGCUCCGGGGCGUGACAGUACCCAGAUAGUACAUCAUUGCCCGUCUGUUGAGGUCCAGAUAUGAUGAGAUUAUUUCCCCAGGUACUUGUUUAGUGAUGAUUUUCAGUCUUGUGUAUUCUAUAUGAUAUUGUGAUAUGAUUUCCAUGAUUAUUACGUAUGAUCGUUAUAUAUGCUUUUCAUGGUUAGUAAUCUGGUUUAAAUGUUAAAUGAUUUAUUACUGGUUUCUCGC